UGGGGAAUAUUGCACAAUGGGCGCAAGCCUGAUGCAGCCAUGCCGCGUGUAUGAAGAAGGCCUUCGGGUUGUAAAGUACUUUCAGCGGGGAGGAAGGGAGUAAAGUUAAUACCUUUGCUCAUUGACGUUACCCGCAGAAGAAGCACCGGCUAACUCCGUGCCAGCAGCCGCGGUAAUACGGAGGGUGCAAGCGUUGUCCGGAAUUAUUGGGCGUAAAGGGCUUGUAGGCGGCUUGUUGCGCCUGCUGUGAAAACGCGGGGCUUAACUUCGCGCGUGCAGUGGGUACGGGCAGGCUUGAGUGUGGUAGGGGUGACUGGAAUUCCAGGUGUAGCGGUGGAAUGCGCAGAUAUCUGGAGGAACACCGAUGGCGAAGGCAGGUCACUGGGCCAUUACUGACGCUGAGGAGCGAAAGCAUGGGUAGCGAACAGG
Molecule: ribosomal RNA, 429 nt
Filed under: Chloroflexota bacterium
Lineage: Bacteria; Bacillati; Chloroflexota
Description: Chloroflexi bacterium partial 16S ribosomal RNA
Rfam family: Bacterial small subunit ribosomal RNA
Source: RNAcentral